Molecule: ribosomal RNA, 253 nt
Filed under: uncultured bacterium
Lineage: Bacteria
Description: partial 16S ribosomal RNA
Rfam family: Bacterial small subunit ribosomal RNA
Source: RNAcentral
UACGUAGGGUGCGAGCGUUGUCCGGAAUCAUUGGGCGUAAAGGGCUCGUAGGCGGCCAACUAAGUCAGACGUGAAAUCCCUCGGCUUAACCGGGGAACUGCGUCUGAUACUGGAUGGCUUGAGAUUGGGAGAGGGAUGCGGAAUUCCAGGUGUAGCGGUGAAAUGCGUAGAUAUCUGGAGGAACACCGGUGGCGAAGGCGGGUCUCUGGGCCGAUACUGACGCUGAGGAGCGAAAGCGUGGGGAGCAAACAGG